ACCAGACUCCUACGGGAGGCAGCAGUGGGGAAUAUUGCACAAUGGGGGAAACCCUGAUGCAGCGACGCCGCGUGAGCGAUGAAGUAUUUCGGUAUGUAAAGCUCUAUCAGCAGGGAAGAAAAUGACGGUACCUGACUAAGAAGCCCCGGCUAACUACGUGCCAGCAGCCGCGGUAAUACGUAGGGGGCGAGCGUUAUCCGGAUUCACUGGGUGUAAAGGGAGCGUAGACGGCCAUGCAAGCCAGGGGUGAAAGCCCGGGGCCCAACCCCGGGACUGCCCUUGGAACUGCAUGGCUGGAGUGCGGGAGGGGCAGGCGGAAUUCCUGGUGUAGCGGUGAAAUGCGUAGAUAUCAGGAGGAACACCGGCGGCGAAGGCGGCCUGCUGGACCGCGACUGACGUUGAGGCUCGAAAGCGUGGGGAGCAAACAGGAUUAGAUACCCGCGUAU
RNAcentral lists this ribosomal RNA (446 nucleotides) under uncultured bacterium. RNAcentral describes it as "partial 16S ribosomal RNA". It matches the Rfam family "Bacterial small subunit ribosomal RNA", at positions 330 to 793 of the family's 1533-position model. The record is from RNAcentral.